This 417-nucleotide ribosomal RNA is filed under the name Triticum aestivum (bread wheat). RNAcentral's name for it is "partial small subunit ribosomal RNA". The record is from RNAcentral. Lineage: Eukaryota; Viridiplantae; Streptophyta; Magnoliopsida; Poales; Poaceae.
AUGGAGGCUCCCCAUGGCGCACCAUCUUCUUUAGACCUGUCUCUGACGCUGGCCCCCAUGCCACCACCUCCAUCCUCCUCUGUUUGGGCUGCAGCAGACGACCUCGCUGCUGCCGGGGACAACGGCUAUGUCCAUGGCCAUGGUGGCGCCUGUGAAGCGAGAUCAUCGAGGCGGCUGUUCUCAUGCCUCUUCUGCGAGAAGAAGUUUGUCAAGUCGCAGGCGCUCGGGGGCCACCAGAACGCGCACAAGAAGGAGAGGGUCGGAAGCUGGAACGCCCACCUCUACCUCCCAGCCGACCACGACGACCCGCCGGCAACCAUAACGACUAGGGCGCCGGCGAGAUGGCCAAAUGCGCCCCUUGACGACGGCGGCGACAAGCAGAUGCAGCGUCAGCUUGAUCUUAACCUUAAGCUCUAG